UAAUACGUAGGGGGCGAGCGUUGUCCGGAAUUAUUGGGCGUAAAGAGCUCGUAGGCGGCUUAGUAAGUCGGCGGUGAAAUACCGAGGCUCAACCUCGGCACUGCCGUCGAUACUGCUAUGGCUAGAGUCUGGUAGAGGAGAACGGAAUUCCCGGUGUAGCGGUGGAAUGCGCAGAUAUCGGGAGGAACACCCGUAGCGAAGGCGGUUCUCUGGGCCAGUACUGACGCUGAGGAGCGAAAGCGUGGGGAGCAAACAGGAUUAGAUACCCUGGUAGUCCACGCUGUAAACGUUGGGCACUAGGUGUGGCGACCCGAUCAACGGUUGCCGUGCCGAAGCUAACGCAUUAAGCAUUCCGCCUGGGGAGUACGGUCGCAAGGCUG
This 380-nucleotide ribosomal RNA is filed under the name uncultured bacterium. RNAcentral's name for it is "bacterial SSU rRNA". It matches the Rfam family "Bacterial small subunit ribosomal RNA", at positions 521 to 896 of the family's 1533-position model. The record is from RNAcentral.